Molecule: ribosomal RNA, 253 nt
Filed under: uncultured bacterium
Lineage: Bacteria
Description: partial 16S ribosomal RNA
Rfam family: Bacterial small subunit ribosomal RNA
Source: RNAcentral
UACGUAGGUGGCAAGCGUUGUUCGGAAUUACUGGGCGUAAAGCGUGCGUAGACGGUUAUGUAAGUCGGGUGUGAAAGCCCCGGGCUCAACCUGGGAAUUGCAUUCGAGACUGCAUAGCUAGGAUGCGGAAGAGGGAAGUGGAAUUCCCGGUGUAGUGGUGAAAUGCGUAGAUAUCGUAAGGAAGACCAGUGGCGAAGGCGGGUCUCUGGACAGUUCCUGACGCUGAGGCACGAAGGCCAGGGGAGCAAACGGG